UACGUAGGGGGCAAGCGUUGUUCGGAAUUACUGGGCGUAAAGGGCGCGUAGGCGGCACAGCAAGUCGGGAGUGAAAGCCCGGGGCUCAACCCCGGAACUGCUUUCGAAACUGCUGAGCUAGAGUACAGAAGGGGCAACCGGAAUUCCCAGUGUAGCGGUGAAAUGCGUAGAUAUUGGGAAGAACACCUGAGGCGUAGGCGGGUUGCUGGGCUGAUACUGACGCUGAGGCGCGAAAGCCAGGGGAGCAAACGGG
Molecule: ribosomal RNA, 253 nt
Filed under: uncultured bacterium
Lineage: Bacteria
Description: partial 16S ribosomal RNA
Rfam family: Bacterial small subunit ribosomal RNA
Source: RNAcentral